GCAAACUUGGUCAUUUAGAGGAAGUAAAAGUCGUAACAAGGUUUCCGUAGGUGAACCUGCGGAAGGAUCAUUAUUGAAUAAAAUUGGUUAGAUUGUCUGCUGGCUUUUUAGAAGCAUGUGCACAUCUAAUCCAUUUUUGAUCUCCUGUGCACCUUGUGUAGGCCUGAAUUGUAUUUAAGUCAGUAAUGACUUGAUUUUUGAAAUUGCUGUGUUUAUAAAUAAGCCAGCUUUUCAUUGUUUCAGGUCUAUGUCUACAUCAUACUCUAUUAAAAUGUUUUUCGGAAUUUGCAUUUUAAUAAUAAUAAUACAACUUUCAACAACGGAUCUCUUGGUUCUCGCAUCGAUGAAGAACGCAGC
Molecule: unclassified non-coding RNA, 357 nt
Filed under: uncultured fungus
Lineage: Eukaryota; Fungi
Description: partial contains small subunit ribosomal RNA, internal transcribed spacer 1, and 5.8S ribosomal RNA
Rfam family: Eukaryotic small subunit ribosomal RNA (bases 1-73)
Source: RNAcentral